This 587-nucleotide ribosomal RNA is filed under the name uncultured bacterium. RNAcentral describes it as "bacterial SSU rRNA". It matches the Rfam family "Bacterial small subunit ribosomal RNA", at positions 338 to 916 of the family's 1533-position model. The record is from RNAcentral.
CCUACGGGAGGCAGCAGUGGGGAAUUUUGGACAAUGGGCGAAAGCCUGAUCCAGCCAUUCCGCGUGAGUGAAGAAGGCCUUCGGGUUGUAAAGCUCUUUCGCAAGGGAAGAAAACUUACUUUCUAAUAAAGAGUGAGGUUGACGGUACCUUGAUAAGAAGCACCGGCUAACUACGUGCCAGCAGCCGCGGUAAUACGUAGGGUGCGAGCGUUAAUCGGAAUUACUGGGCGUAAAGCGUGCGCAGGCGGUUUGGUAAGUCAGAUGUGAAAUCCCCGAGCUCAACUUGGGAACUGCGUUUGAAACUACCAGACUAGAAUAUGUCAGAGGGGGGUAGAAUUCCACGUGUAGCAGUGAAAUGCGUAGAGAUGUGGAGGAAUACCAAUGGCGAAGGCAGCCCCCUGGGAUAAUAUUGACGCUCAUGCACGAAAGCGUGGGGAGCAAACAGGAUUAGAUACCCUGGUAGUCCACGCCCUAAACGAUGUCUACUAGUUGUUGGUGGAGUAAAAUCCAUGAGUAACGCAGCUAACGCGUGAAGUAGACCGCCUGGGGAGUACGGUCGCAAGAUUAAAACUCAAAUGAAUUGACGG